Non-coding RNA from Callorhinus ursinus (northern fur seal), 5706 nucleotides. Lineage: Eukaryota; Metazoa; Chordata; Mammalia; Carnivora; Otariidae. The record is from RefSeq and is a predicted model, not a curated record.
CUAGACAGUUGGUCCCUAAUCUGAAAACCUGUCUAUCAAGCUUCAGAUAGAAUAAGACUUCUUUCAGAGAUGAAUAGGAUGGCCUGAGUAUUGACUUACAAUUUGAGGAUAUUUUUGAAGUUGGAGGUAAGAUAAAGGCCACAGUCCAUUAGAAAUCCUGCCUGGUGAUUCAUCAUCAUAAAAUUUUUCCCAAUUUUUUUUUUUUUUUGCUGGGACAACUCAAUACUAGCAUUAGACUAAUGUUACAAUUCUAGAAAAUAGACUUGGUUUAAAUCAAUCACUUUUUAAAACCAAAUGCCAAGUUAACUGGUUAACUCCAAACAGAAGUUGACAUUGAAAUCUGAAAUCUUAUUUAAUGCAGUUGUUAUUUAAGACCUACUUACUACACAGUCUGAAAGAUGGGUCUAGAAGUUAUAUUAUAAUACACUGAAUGUAUUUUGCUUAAAUCGUCAAAUAUUCAAUUAUUAGAGGAACUGAAAUAGGAAUUCAGCCCACCUUCCCCCAGUCUGUAGAGAGACCUAUUGGCUAUUUAAGCAAAGUCCUGUAUUUUUUUGUUGUCUCUUGGUAACAGAGACCUUGUUUGUCUAUAGGAAAAGUAGGAUUUAUUUUGGAAAACAGCUAUGUAAAAAUCCUAUCUGAGAAUUUGGAAUUUUUUUUAAGUAUGGACAUAAUUCAGGAUGGUAGGAAUAUAUUUUUCAUUAAACAACAGAUAUGUCUUUAGUUCAAAGUGCCAGAUUCCUCAUGGUUUUUCUUUUAAAGGCAUCUCUCUCUGUCUUUCUCUCUCUCUCUCUGCCUCUCUCUCACACACACAUAAUCUCCAGGAUUCUAUAAUUCAUGGUAUUGUAAUGAAAACAAAUGAAAUCUUCACGGUAUGGUGGAAAGAACACGAGCCCGAGGGUUAGGAUCCCUGAAUUCUCCUCUUGACUCUGUCAGUAGUUAGCUGUGUGAUCUUAGGUCAUUCAUUAAAUAACUGGGCCUCAGUUUCCCUACCCACAGAAUGAGCAUAUUGAGCUCAAUAAUCUCAAAAGUUCUCAAGUUGCAAACCUAUAAACUUGACUUUGAAUGGAAGGAGAAGUGGAAGGAAGAUUUUUGUGGGAUUUAUUCACCAAGGAAACAGGAUUCACCAUUUGGUUACUAACUGAGGGAAGCAAUUCUAUGUGGUCAUGGGGACAGAGAAACUGACAAAGUGGUGUCUUUCCUGGAGUUCUCAUGAUGCCAGGCCAUAGGAGGGUUAAAAGGUGGUGUCGGGGAGGGGGGAGGCAAUUCACUCUUCAAAGUCAAGGCAGCAUCCUUUUUUGAGGACAGAUGUAGAGUCUUUGUUCCGUGUUCCUCACUCUGCUGGUUUCUACUCAGAUACCAUCCGGAAGUUUCCUGACUGGAAAGCACUGUCCAGUCUGCCAUAACCUACCCUCCUGGCCUCGUCUGCCACACACACUCUCUGCCAGCUUACAGAACCCAGCGGGGACCUCCACCUACCUCCCGAUUUUGUUCUCCCAUCAUUUAGGGGAUUGUAUAGUGCUGCUAUUUCCCAAGGCAAAGGAUGAAGACCGAUAGUAUCUCUGCUCCAUUGUGAGUUUACCUGAAGCAUCCUCCCUGGGCAUCCUGGCUGAUACAACCACAUCACCUUUUAUCCCAUAACCUGCCUCCUUGUUCUUCAGGAGGUGUAUCAGCCCUGGACACAGAAUUAUUUACUUAGGUGUCUGCCACCCCUACGAGAGUAUACGUUCUAGCAGGGUUUUGAUAACCUGCUUUAUUCUCAACACAGAAAGCAGAGCCUUGGAACAUAAUAGGCACAUAAUCAAUAUUGGUUGAAUUAAUAAAACAUGUAUUAUGGGACAUCCAGACCUGUGAUCUAAUGUUCUGACCAGUUGAUCCCCACAAGCCCCUAUCCCCAAGGAGAAAUUCAACGAAUGUGCAUUCCACUAAGGUACCAGACUUCAUUUAAUCCUCACUGUGAUUUCUGUCAAGGGGGUACUUUGGCCCCAUUUUACAGAUGAUAAAACGGACAUUUAAGGAGCUGAAGGGGCUGAAGGGCCUUGCUAUAGGGCACAUGGCAACUGAGUAGCAGCUGAGAAUGAACUCAGGCUUUCUGACUUCGAGUCCACUGUGCAUGGCCCUAUUUCAUUCACCACGUCUGCAUCUUCUCUGAUUGUUUCCCCAUCUUUAAUGGUACCAUGUGCAUUGAAUCAAGCUUUCAUAGAUGGAGUAACUAGAUUCAAUGGAAGACUGCCUAGAACUAAGAUGCAGGUUUUGAAACCAGGUCAUCUCUUGAGCAGCAACCAGGAUCACGUGAUUUUCAACACUGAUAAUAUCAACUGUGGGGAGCAGGGGUGGGGUAGGUGUUGUUUAAUAUCGCAGGUUAACUUGUCUGUGGCCAAAGAAGAGUGGAACGGCUCCUGAAAAUUUUGGUAUUCCCAACGUGAUGCUCAGAGCCUUCCCAGGAGACAUUCUUGGAAAGGAGGAGAGAACAUGACACAGAAGGACUUAUAACAAGGGCAGCAAGAUUAAGAUUUUGAAAUCAAAACGAGUUGUGCAAAUUAUGCACAGAAUAAAAAGCUUCUGCAAAGCAAUCCAGACUUCCCUGGCACCCUGGACCAAAUACCUCCGCAGUGUGGAGACCCACGUAUUUUGAAAUAUAGACAUGCCUUAUAUUCAAGGAAGAAACAUGCAGGUGCAUAAAAAUCACAUUCCAGAAUUACUCAAAUAUGAUUUGUCAAGGUCACUCAAGCUGGGAACACACAUUCUAGAUUUCUUUCUACAGACCUCAAUCUGUAUAGAACUGGAUUUCGUGGACAUGCAGGUAUAGGUCCUUAGAAGUUCAGAUAAGCACGAUAUUUUAGGAACAGAAGAUUGGAAAGAUAUGCUGUAGAGGUAAUUUAGUCCCACUGUCUCACUUGUACAAAGAUUUUGAAGUUCAAACAGGUUCAGUGGACUGUGCAUUCUCACAUGGAGGCGAGAAAUCCACUGGCCUCCCUUUGUCCACUGUCCUUUCCAAACAGUGUUUGAACCCUUGCAGGAAUAGGGUCUAGGAACCUCAAGAUCCAAAGGUCACACAGGAACAGGAAAUUGUGUGGCUUUCACACAACUUAAAUACCGAAGUAUACACUAACAACUCAAUCCUUCAGCAUUUUGGGGACUGCAGUCCCUUCUCAGGACUUGAGAAGCCACUGCUCUGUGGGUGGGUCUGCAGAACCAGAUCACCUGGAUGAGAGACGAAGGUGCUCCCGAGGAGGGUUUGGGGGGACUCAGAGGCUCCCACCACCCACCUGAAAAAGAAGACCUUCACUUCCAUCCUUAGCGUGAAGGAUGGGGGGCCUCGCCUAAGCCUGUUCUCACUGCCUGCCAUGCCAAUCCUUGUGUGUGUCUCUAAAGAGGUUAGCACAUCCUGGGUACACAGACCACAGCUUCCUCCAUUUGCUCAGGGCCUUAGAGGUCUGAGCAUCAUGGAGCUAUUGCUUCACUUCUCCUUAGGGUGUCCACAUCAAGACCCUGGAGCCAUCUUCCCACCCUUCCGGAUCAGAGGGACUGCCUCUGGUUUUUCCAGACUGACUCCGGCUUGGUGUUGCGGGAUAGCCUGGAAGCCGACUCCAGGUCCCAUUCAUUCCUCUCGGUCCUCUAAGGUCAGUCACUUUAGGGGGUGUCCCUCCUCUCGGCUCCGGGCCCCACUUCCCGCUUCCAGAAGGAGAAGGCAAUCAACACUCCUGAAGUCUAACACGAAACCCAGACCCUCAUCCAUCCCUCUGGGCUGCAUUUUGCAACUUAGAGCCAGGCGUGAGGUGUGGGGUGAGGGGUGGAUUUGGCAGGGCCGUCGGCUCAGAGCCGGCCACCGCAGGAGAAGCGGCUCUGCAGGGCGCGGGACCCUCUUGGGGAGGACCGUGGAGCCCUUGCGCUGGAGCCGGCGCACGCCUGGGCGCGGAGAGCCGGGGCUGGGCGCGGGGCAGCGGCGCCGACCGAGGCUGCAGAGAGAUCCCCUGGCCGCGGAGCGCAGAGGCCCGCCCGUCAGUCCCGGGGAGCCGGCCGCUCUGGAGCGCCGAGAGCUCAGCAACACAAGCACCAAGAGGAAGGGAAACCAGCCCGCGCUGACAUGUAAACAGGGACCUCCAUCCGAGGAGCCAGCUCAGACCGACCCCCAAGCACACUCACUUGCACCCCGAGCCGCCUGCAACCCAUCCAUUUGCCCGCCCCAGGGCCCUCCAGGCCGGGGGACCCAAGCGGGUGGCGGCUGCCGCUCCCGCCCCCGUCGCCUUCGGCCUCGGAUACGUUCAUUAAUGCUUUUUCCAGCCCGAGUCAAACUUAUUGGGGGUUGGGGGGGAGAGUUUACUCGGGCUGGGGAUAAUCUGGAGCCUACUGCCCAGGAAGAUCCGGACGCAGACCGACGCAAACCAACCAUUAAAAAAAUGCAUCCAGUGGGAAUUUUUCCACUCGGGCCCUGGGCUGCCGAGUGGCGGCAGACUGGGAGCUGUUCACCGGUCGACGCGGACUCGGGGCGGUUUCGGAAGGAUCCCACCGUCGGGGGCGCGGACUAGGCUCCCAGCGCAUUGUUAGCAGAAGGGCGCCCCCGGACAGCGCGUCUCGGCCCUUUGCUCCUGGAGAGCUCCCGGCGCCCUCCCGGGGCCGGGACCGGCGGCACCCUAGGCCACCUAUCCGCGCCUUCUAGGGUCAAACCCCUCGCGCUUUACCUGGACCGGAUGGCCCAAGUCCCGGCGCUCGGCCAGAGCCGCCUAUGCAGUGCUACUCCGAGCGCAGAGAAACCUACACUACCGCAGGACGUUCCCUCCACGCUGGUCCACAGGUCUCCAGAGCGCAGCACGCAAGAUCGCCGCACAGACUCAGACUUCCCCUCGGGUGAGCCCCCGGGGUCAGUGCUCGGGACCACCAUCCCCACCCGGCCAGGAGGCCAGCCGGCCCUCGGCCCGCCUUGUCGGUCCCCGCCAUCCGGAGACCUCCUGCCGUUCCCCCGCAGUGCCGCCGAAAGCUCCAGUUGGGGCAGCCUUAGGACUCCAGGCGCAGCGAGGGGACCCCCACCCCACCCCCGGGCGCUCUCGGCCUGACUCCCUUCUCCCCAACCUCCAAAACAGGUUACCUUUUCCACGCUCUCCAGACCACGCUUUGGACUUUUUCACUUUUAUUUAAGAGUCCACCCGGGGAAGGAGGGAAAAAAAAUCCAGAGGAGAUCCGAGUCAAUUGGAAAGAAAAAAAAAAAAAAAUUCAAAAGGGUGUCCACAGCGGCGAAAAAGCCCAGACUCUGCCGACCUUCAAACGACAACAGGGCUUUCAGGAGGGUGCGGGGAGACCGCUUCCCACCCAGACCUGGCCAGAAACCCGGCACCCCAGCCACACUGCCCCUCUUUCAGGCAGAAGGGAUUUCAACUCCACCACCGGGAGGCCCCCUUCCUGGUCCUGGGCAAACACUGAGGUUGUUAAUGGCCACCCCACACCAGCCAGAUGCUCCCCCUUCCUUCCACACUCCUCCUAGUGCUGGAGAAGGCACCUCCAUGGCAGAAAUAUUGGCUAGGUUUCUCUUCCCAACUCCUAUGAGGCCGGGCCAAGAGCAUAUUAUUAUCUUCGCUGCACUGAUCAGGACAUUCACCCCCACACCUCUAGUACCCCCAACUCCUUUCAGCAGGAGCUUCCUCUCCCAUGGAGAGUUGCUCAAUGGGAAACUACAUUAAAAUGAGGACUUGCCCUCCUGUUUUAGCUGUGGAA